AAAUUGAUUGUAUUAAAUAUGUUUUAAACAUUUGAGAUUUCAAAUGUUAAACUCAAAAGCUUGAGUACUGGAAGUAAAACUAAUAGUCCAAAACUUUAAGUUGGUCUAGGUUAUUGGUGAAAAUUUUGAGGACCAGGAGUGUGUUUGUUCUUAUGGAAGUUUGACAUCUAGGCACCAAUUCGUAGAGUUCGAAAUUGCGAAUGUUUAAACGACACUACGAUCUUAAAAGUCGGUAAGGCUCACAACACCCGCAUGCAUGAAACAGUUUCAAAUGCCAGCAAGUUUGCAUACGGUGCAAAUUCACAACUUCACGAUCGUCAAGCGCGAAGUCGAGUUCGGCUAUAUGAACGGAACUUGCUAUCUUCGAGGAAGUCGAGCUCAUGUUAACAAUCACACCCUAAAAGUAAGCUACUUUCUAAAGUAUAGGAUGAUAAUGUGGAACUUGAACUUGGGAUACCAUACUUAAAAAUUAGAGGAUCAAAGUGAACACGGCCGAACGUUCAGGAUAAGUCCAUGCAAUUUACACUUUUCGCCGGUGUGUAGUUGUCUCAUGCUUCUGUAACAUCCCAGACGCCGGAUGAUGAGAUUGCUCUGAUGGUUUGGUCAGCAAUGAGGAUGAUGGUGGUUUCCGGCGGCGAUUUCUAUAUAACCGAGGUAAGAAAAAGAUAAGAGAUAGAGGUAGUGACAGAAAUAAAGUUGGGGAUAGAGAUAGAGAUAGAGAUAGAGAAAAAAUAAGAGUUGGGAAAGAAGAAGGGUUUGGAGAGGUUAGAGGCAGAUUGAGGGAGAUGAGGGCAUGAGACUGAGAGAGAGAGAGAGAGAGAGAGAGAGCAGAGAGGAGAGUUGGAGAAUUGGGAAGAAGGAAAAUACUAAUUCAUUUU
Molecule: long non-coding RNA, 878 nt
Filed under: Ananas comosus (pineapple)
Lineage: Eukaryota; Viridiplantae; Streptophyta; Magnoliopsida; Poales; Bromeliaceae
Description: long non-coding RNA (ACOM_LNC021760)
Source: RNAcentral